Molecule: long non-coding RNA, 1005 nt
Organism: Canis lupus familiaris (dog)
Lineage: Eukaryota; Metazoa; Chordata; Mammalia; Carnivora; Canidae
Exons: 3
Source: RefSeq, a predicted model, not a curated record
UGUAGUUCUCAGUCGCGGGUCAGCCCCCGCCGGGAGGGUGAGGGGUCGCUGGGGGCGCGCUCUGCGGGGUCCCGAGGCACCUCCGCACUGCCGGAGGGACCCGAGGCUCGGCGCGCUCUUGCCCGCCAGUGCAGGAGGGGGAGGCUGAGUACGCCGGGUGCUGCCCGGGAGGAAAGGCCUGCUCUAGCCCGGUGCCUGUGCGGGCCUGCGCGAAAGGAGGCGCGGGACGGGGUCGGACCCAGAGGCCGAGACCACCGCGCGCCCGCGCCCCUGGGAGACAGGGAUCCUCACCAGGGAAAACAAACCUGACCUGCAGCUUUUCAGCCUGAGAUUUCAGGGAAGAAGAGUCGCAGGAAGGAAUAUAUCGUGCAGCCGCCGAGGUCGAAGCCGUUUCUGAUUGCUUUACCAGGGAAAUGUAGGAUUAAGGUGAAGCUGCAAAAUCCUCUGUGACUAUCAGAGAUGAGAACAAGUUUAAAAUGGAUUCGACUGGUUUUAUGAUCUUUGAGAUGAAACUUCAAAGCAAUCAUAGAAGCCAAAUAUGAACAAACACCAUGUGUUGGGAGAGAAAAGGCAAAAAGUGGUAUGAAGAGAUAAAAAUGGCUUUGGUGAGAGGUAAAAAAAUCUAGAUUAAUCAGCAGCUGCUGCCUCCAUGUCCCAAAACUCAGCGUAAGGAGCCAUCAGCUAGGAGUUAGGGCCAGGGCUAUAUCUCAGCAACUGCAAAGUCGGCGUUCCUUUUUCUAUCUUUGUUAAAAAACAUAUUAAAAUGCAACACCUUCCGAUUAGUUUGCAAGAACAAGUUGACUCCUAUCAGGAAAGACAGAGAACCACCAGCACAAUUCCAAUAAGGACCUCUGCAUAAAAAUGGGACCCAAAAAUAAGUAUACGGAUUCCACAGGCAGAGGCCAGCAAUACCCUUUCUUCAUUCAAACCAUGUUUCCAGUAAACAGAAUCUCGUCAGAUCCCACAUCCCUGCAUCAAAAAGCAUUAAAGCAAUGAUGAAAACCA